GUCGCUUUGCCGGAGUGGUUAACGGGUUCGCCUGCUAUCUCGCAUAGCUCGACAGCGGAUGCAUUUAUGCGCGUGUGUUCGAAUCGCACAGGCGACG
Molecule: non-coding RNA, 97 nt
Organism: Tulasnella sp. 332
Lineage: Eukaryota; Fungi; Basidiomycota; Agaricomycetes; Cantharellales; Tulasnellaceae
Source: the annotation of a GenBank genome assembly